This is a long non-coding RNA of Pieris napi, 432 nucleotides long. RefSeq lists it as uncharacterized. Lineage: Eukaryota; Metazoa; Arthropoda; Insecta; Lepidoptera; Pieridae. The record is from RefSeq and is a predicted model, not a curated record. The transcript has 2 exons.
CCAAUUAAACGUCUAAAACUAAACUGUGUGAAAUUAGAUAAUGUACGAUUCAAAGUAGUUCAGGUCAUUAUUUCCAAAUUAAUUUGUCACACAUAACUGUGACAAAUAAAUUAAUUCAAGCGAAACAUUAUUAUAUAUAUAUACAGUAAACAGUGGGAGAGCUAACAAUCAAUCAAAAACCAAGAUGAAGUUCACAGCAAUUUUAUUCUGCGUUGUCAUGUUCGCAACUGCAUUUGUGACUGUAGCUGACCAAGUUCAAGCGACCAGCUGCUUUUCAAACAGCGACUGCAAAAGUCAAUGCCAACAAGUUUGUGAACCCUCAAGAAUUGAUGGCUUUUGUUCCAGAACUGAUCCAAAUGAUCUUUUCGGAUUAUGCUACUGUGUAAUUGUGUGAUUGUCAAUAAAGAAUCACAAUAUAUAUAUACAAUAUUA